Molecule: ribosomal RNA, 403 nt
Filed under: uncultured bacterium
Lineage: Bacteria
Description: bacterial SSU rRNA
Rfam family: Bacterial small subunit ribosomal RNA
Source: RNAcentral
CAGGGAAUAUUGCGCAAUGGACGGAAGUCAGACGCAGCGACGCCGCGUGGGUGAGGAAGGCCUUCGGGUUGUAAAGCCCUUUUCUGGAGGGCGAGGCAGGACGGUACUCCAGGAAUAAGCGUCGGCUAACUACGUGCCAGCAGCCGCGGUAAGACGUAGGACGCAAGCGUUAUCCGGAUUUACUGGGCGUAAAGCGCCUGUAGGCGGCGGGAUAAGUCGGAUGUGAAAGCCCCGUGCUCAACGCGGGGAAGCCAUUCGAUACUGUCUGGCUAGAGAGCGGGAGAGGGAAACGGAAUUUCUGGUGUAGCGGUAAAAUGCGCAGAGAUCAGAAGGAACACCGAUGGCGAAGGCAGUUUCCUAGGCCGUAUCUGACGCUGAGAGGCGAAAGCUAGGGGAGCGAACA